CACUAAAUUGUUGAUUUAAUCAAAAUUAUUAUACUUUAAUUUUUAGAAAUUGUCUAACUAUCAAUUAGAAUUUUGUAUCUCUGUACUAUUUAAUAACGACUCAGAUUUAUUGAGCAUUAUCUAUAUUAUUAUAACAAAAUACUUUUUAGGUCACCUUGGUUUUUACAAGUAUUUAAGCGAUGCCAUUAGCUUUUAUUUUUAAUUUAAAAAUAGAUAUUGACCUGCGCACCCGCACGGAUAUUAUUUCUUAUAUUUCUAUACAUUGAUAAUAUUUUUUUCAUAAUUAGUGUUAUAUAUUUUAGAUGUGUCGUAAUAUAACUAAUUACAUUCAAAAGAACUGGACCGAAUCGGAUAAUAUGAUUAUUUUUUGUACAAAUAUCAGAACCCGUUUCAAAUACAUUUGCUAUUUAGAUAUUUAAAGGUUCCUAUAUAUCAAAAUCGAACUCAUCCAACCCGAGAAUGACUCCCCUCAAA
This 474-nucleotide long non-coding RNA is filed under the name Brassica napus (rape). RNAcentral describes it as "long non-coding RNA (BNAP_LNC020156)". The record is from RNAcentral. Lineage: Eukaryota; Viridiplantae; Streptophyta; Magnoliopsida; Brassicales; Brassicaceae.